RNAcentral lists this ribosomal RNA (868 nucleotides) under Pseudomonas aeruginosa. Its description in RNAcentral is "bacterial SSU rRNA". It matches the Rfam family "Bacterial small subunit ribosomal RNA", at positions 1 to 864 of the family's 1533-position model. The record is from RNAcentral. Lineage: Bacteria; Pseudomonadati; Pseudomonadota; Gammaproteobacteria; Pseudomonadales; Pseudomonadaceae.
GAACUGAAGAGUUUGAUCAUGGCUCAGAUUGAACGCUGGCGGCAGGCCUAACACAUGCAAGUCGAGCGGAUGAAGGGAGCUUGCUCCUGGAUUCAGCGGCGGACGGGUGAGUAAUGCCUAGGAAUCUGCCUGGUAGUGGGGGAUAACGUCCGGAAACGGGCGCUAAUACCGCAUACGUCCUGAGGGAGAAAGUGGGGGAUCUUCGGACCUCACGCUAUCAGAUGAGCCUAGGUCGGAUUAGCUAGUUGGUGGGGUAAAGGCCUACCAAGGCGACGAUCCGUAACUGGUCUGAGAGGAUGAUCAGUCACACUGGAACUGAGACACGGUCCAGACUCCUACGGGAGGCAGCAGUGGGGAAUAUUGGACAAUGGGCGAAAGCCUGAUCCAGCCAUGCCGCGUGUGUGAAGAAGGUCUUCGGAUUGUAAAGCACUUUAAGUUGGGAGGAAGGGCAGUAAGUUAAUACCUUGCUGUUUUGACGUUACCAACAGAAUAAGCACCGGCUAACUUCGUGCCAGCAGCCGCGGUAAUACGAAGGGUGCAAGCGUUAAUCGGAAUUACUGGGCGUAAAGCGCGCGUAGGUGGUUCAGCAAGUUGGAUGUGAAAUCCCCGGGCUCAACCUGGGAACUGCAUCCAAAACUACUGAGCUAGAGUACGGUAGAGGGUGGUGGAAUUUCCUGUGUAGCGGUGAAAUGCGUAGAUAUAGGAAGGAACACCAGUGGCGAAGGCGACCACCUGGACUGAUACUGACACUGAGGUGCGAAAGCGUGGGGAGCAAACAGGAUUAGAUACCCUGGUAGUCCACGCCGUAAACGAUGUCGACUAGCCGUUGGGAUCCUUGAGAUCUUAGUGGCGCAGCUAACGCGAUAAG